UGUCUGCUCUAUGCUAC
RNAcentral lists this unclassified non-coding RNA (17 nucleotides) under Mus musculus (house mouse). Its description in RNAcentral is "oocyte_clustered_small_RNA12970". The record is from RNAcentral. Lineage: Eukaryota; Metazoa; Chordata; Mammalia; Rodentia; Muridae.